AUACGGAGGGUCCAAGCGUUAUCCGGAUUCAUUGGGUUUAAAGGGUCCGCAGGCGGGAAAAUAAGUCAGUGGUGAAAGCCUACAGCUCAACUGUAGAACUGCCAUUGAAACUGUUUUCCUUGAGUAUAGAUGAAGUGGGCGGAAUAUAUCAUGUAGCGGUGAAAUGCAUAGAUAUGAUAUAGAACACCGAUUGCGAAGGCAGCUCACUAAACUAUUACUGACGCUCAGGGACGAAAGCGUGGGGAGCGAACAGGAUUAGAAACCCUAGUAGUCC
This 274-nucleotide ribosomal RNA is filed under the name uncultured bacterium. RNAcentral's name for it is "partial 16S ribosomal RNA". It matches the Rfam family "Bacterial small subunit ribosomal RNA", at positions 523 to 796 of the family's 1533-position model. The record is from RNAcentral.